RNAcentral lists this transfer RNA (19 nucleotides) under Hydrilla verticillata (hydrilla). Its description in RNAcentral is "partial tRNA-Leu". Lineage: Eukaryota; Viridiplantae; Streptophyta; Magnoliopsida; Alismatales; Hydrocharitaceae. The record is from RNAcentral.
CCCAAUAAAAUAAAACCCC